AUACGGAGGAUGCAAGCGUUAUCCGGAUUUAUUGGGUUUAAAGGGAGCGUAGGUGGGAUAUUAAGUCAGCUGUGAAAGUUUGGGGCUCGACCUUAAAAUUGCAGUUGAUACUGGUUUCCUUGAGUACGGUACAGGUGGGCGGAAUUCGUGGUGUAGCGGUGAAAUGCUUAGAUAUCACGAAGAACUCCGAUCGCGAAGGCAGCUCACCGGGCCGGAACUGACACUGAUGCUCGAAAGUGCGGGUAUCAAACAGGAUUAGAUACCCUGGUAGUCCGCACAGUAAACGAUGAAUACUCGCUGUUUGCGAUACACGGUAAGCGGCCAAGCGAAAGCGUUAAGUAUUCCACCUGGGGAGUACGCCGGCAACGGUGAAACUCAAAGGAAUUGACGGGG
RNAcentral lists this ribosomal RNA (393 nucleotides) under uncultured bacterium. Its description in RNAcentral is "partial 16S ribosomal RNA". It matches the Rfam family "Bacterial small subunit ribosomal RNA", at positions 523 to 918 of the family's 1533-position model. The record is from RNAcentral.